This 560-nucleotide ribosomal RNA is filed under the name uncultured Glomus. RNAcentral describes it as "SSU rRNA". It matches the Rfam family "Eukaryotic small subunit ribosomal RNA", at positions 546 to 1106 of the family's 1831-position model. The record is from RNAcentral. Lineage: Eukaryota; Fungi; Glomeromycota; Glomeromycetes; Glomerales; Glomeraceae.
AAUUGGAGGGCAAGUCUGGUGCCAGCAGCCGCGGUAAUUCCAGCCCCAAUAGCGUAUAUUAAAGUUGUUGCAGUUAAAAAGCUCGUAGUUGAAUUUCGGGAUCAAUAUUUCGGUCAUGCCGUUGGUAUGCACUGUUAUCAUUGAUUUCUCACCUUCUAAAGAACCGUAAUGCCAUUAAUUUGGUGUUACGGGGAAUUAGGACUGUUACCUUGAAAAAAUUAGAGUGUUUAAAGCAGGCUCACGCUUGAAUACAUUAGCAUGGAAUAAUGAAAUAGGACAUCCGAUUCUAUUUUGUUGGUUUCUAGGAUCGAUGUAAUGAUUAAUAGGGAUAGUUGGGGGCAUUAGUAUUCAAUUGUCAGAGGUGAAAUUCUUGGAUUUAUUGAAGACUAACUACUGCGAAAGCAUUUGCCAAGGAUGUUUUCAUUAAUCAAGAACGAAAGUUAGGGGAUCGAAGACGAUCAGAUACCGUCGUAGUCUUAACCAUAAACUAUGCCGACUAGGGAUCGGAUGAUGUUAAUUUUUUAAUGACUCAUUCGGCGCCUUACGGGAAACCAAAGUGU